Molecule: non-coding RNA, 2519 nt
Organism: Pogona vitticeps (central bearded dragon)
Lineage: Eukaryota; Metazoa; Chordata; Lepidosauria; Squamata; Agamidae
Source: RefSeq, a predicted model, not a curated record
AUUACAUAUAAAGAAAUGAAACAGAAGAGCAAUCAAAGGCAAAUCCUAUGGCAAGGGGGGGGAAUCAACAGCAGCAAACAGUGGUGGGAAGGAGAAGCUGAUGGUACAACAGUCAUAUUUAAGCUUCACGGGAUGCCAUCGAGCGACAUGGUAAAGCCAUUGCUGCGUCAUCAAAAUGCAGAGAGCGACCCAAACCUUGCCCCCACUUCCAGUAGCAGGACGGUUGGGAUUCUAGGAAGUGGUGACUUUGCCCGUUCCUUGUCUAUGCGUCUGGUGUGCUCGGGUUUCAAAGUGGUGGUUGGAAGCCGGAACCCGAAGCGCAAUGCCAGCCUCUUCCCUUCAGCCGCGGAAGUAACAUUCCAGGCAGAUGCUGUAAAGAAGACAGACAUUAUCUUUGUGGCAGUUUUCAGAGAACACUAUACCACACUCUGUGAUCUUAGCGAUGAGCUCUCCGGCAAGAUAUUGGUGGAUGUGAGCAACAACACUGAAAUAAACCAUCACAAAGAAUCAAAUGCUGAGUACUUGGCAGCACUUUUCCCAGCAUGCACUGUUGUCAAAGGAUUUAAUGUCAUCUCAGCGUGGACGCUACAGUCGGGCCCUAGAGAUGGCAAUAAGCAGGUCUUCCUUUGUAGUGAUAACCAAGAAGCCAAACAGGCUGUUUCUGAAAUUGCACACAAGCUGGGAUUCACCCCCACGGACAUGGGGUCAUUGUUCUCAGCCCGUGAGAUCGAGAACCUUCCCCUGCGCCUCCUCCCAGCCUGGAGGAUCCCCGUCUUCUUGGCGCUGGGGCUCUUCUUCUGUUUCUAUACCUACAACUUCAUCCGGCAGGUGUUGCAUCCUUACAUUCGGGACAAAAAGAACAAGUUUUACAAGAUGCCCGUGGAGGUUGUCAACACCACUCUGCCUUGCGUCGCCUACGUCAUGCUGUCCCUCGUCUACCUGCCCGGAGUGCUUGCAGCCAUCUUUCAGCUGUACCACUGUACAAAGUACAAGCGUUUCCCAGACUGGCUCGACCAGUGGCUACAACACAGGAAGCAAAUCGGCCUCCUGAGCUUCUUCUGUGCCGCUUUGCAUGCUGUUUACAGCUUGUGUCUUCCUAUGAGACGGUCCCAUCGUUACCUGCUACUCAGCGAGGCCGUCAAGCAGGUGGAGAAGAAAACGGAUGCCUGGGUAGAGGAGGAGGUCUGGAGGAUGGAGAUCUACAUUUCAUUUGGUAUCAUGGCCCUGGGCUUGCUCUCCUUACUUGCCAUUACUUCGCUUCCUUCCAUCGCCAACUCUCUCAACUGGAGGGAAUUCAGUUUCAUUCAGUCUACCCUCGGCUUUGUUGCUCUGUUGGUGAGCACCCUCCACACCUUGACCUACGGCUGGGCAAGGGCCUUUGAUGAAAGCCAGUACAAGUUCUACCUGCCUCCCACCUUUACCCUCACUCUGCUGGUACCAUGUGUUGUCAUCUUGGCUAAACUUUUCUUUCAUCUUCCAUGUAUGAACCAAAGACUGUGGCGUAUUAGGAAUGGGUGGGAAAGGGGCAGGUACGUCAAAUUCACCUUGCCCAGAGCGAUGGGGGAGUUUUCAAGUGGAGAAAGCAGCAGCACUGUGUGACUCAGCACCUUUUUUUUCCAUUACAGUUUUCACAGCACUAUGAAGAUUCUGGGUUGUUGGUUUUUUUUUAAUUAAAGCUUGUAAGAUGGGUACAUUGACUGGUGAGUGAGAACAAUUACCCUAUUUGGGAUUCCCCCCCAAAAAAAAAAAACAUUUACCAGUGUAGCCAGUUCAUUUAGAGCAAGCUGGAAAUUCUUGUAACAAAAAAAAUGGUAGCCUUAAAACAUCAGUGCAAAGUUUCAGCUAUACCAUUGUAAAGAUACACAGAUGAAACAACUCUGUGGACAAACAACAGAGCCAUGUUCAGUGUAAUGGUGGAUACAACUUGGAAAGUAUUUUCUCUGUAGAAGUCUUGACUCCUAGCUGUGUAUUUCUUUUCUUAAGAAAUGCAGUAGAUUUACUCAGGCAUAAGCCCACACUGGACACACACUUUUGAUUUAAAAUUAUUAGGAUUACAUUUUCAGCUAUUCCUCUUGGUUCACAUCUACCAGAAUGAUUUUGUUUGAGCAAAUGACUGGUGAAAUUUCCAGCAAACAAGUUUCUUUUAGCAGAAUUAACUUCUAGCUGAGCAUAAUCGGGAUAAAAGCCUUCAGAGGUCACGUCAAGCACCAAAGUGUUAAUUCUGGUAGAAUGAAUUCUCAGAAAUACUAAUAGCUAGUAUAGAAAUACUCUGUCUGAGACUGGAAUUACACAUUAUGUUAGAUACACUACUGACACUAAAACAACCACUCCUAUUCCUCCUAAUGUAGUAUUUUUCAUUUCUGCACCUAGCCUAAUCAGCAGAUGCUGGCAGAGAGUUUCAGAUCAUGUAAUGUUUUAGAAGCAGAAUUCAGUGUAGAGUUUGCUGCACAUUGAAUUGUUAGACGUAAUUCCAGCCUUAUUUUCUCCAUUACAUACAGCAAAUUCACACCUUAUGUUCU